AUUCAACAGCAUAAACCGCCAAGAUGAAAUUUGAACUGCUAUUACUACUUGGAAUUUUGUGUUCUUCCAUGCUUGGUCGAAAUAUCGCGAAUGUGUGCUGUGUAAGAAAACCUUGGUGCUGCUUGCCAGGCAGUGAAUGCAAUGCUGAUUCUGACUGCGAU
Long non-coding RNA from Saccostrea echinata, 161 nucleotides. RefSeq lists it as uncharacterized. Lineage: Eukaryota; Metazoa; Mollusca; Bivalvia; Ostreida; Ostreidae. The record is from RefSeq and is a predicted model, not a curated record. The transcript has 3 exons.